Rhinolophus ferrumequinum (greater horseshoe bat) is the source of this 74-nucleotide non-coding RNA. The record is from the annotation of a RefSeq genome assembly. Lineage: Eukaryota; Metazoa; Chordata; Mammalia; Chiroptera; Rhinolophidae.
GGCCGAUUAGCUCAAUUGGUUAGAGUGAGGUGCUAUUCACACCAAGGUUGCUGGUUCGAUCCCCGCAUGGGCCA